Molecule: ribosomal RNA, 496 nt
Filed under: uncultured bacterium
Lineage: Bacteria
Description: partial 16S ribosomal RNA
Rfam family: Bacterial small subunit ribosomal RNA
Source: RNAcentral
GAUGAACGCUAGCGGCAGGCUUAACACAUGCAAGUCGAGGGGUAGAAGUUGCUUGCAACUUUGAGACCGGCGCACGGGUGCGUAACGCGUAUGCAAUCUACCUUAUACAGAGGGAUAGCCCAGAGAAAUUUGGAUUAAUACCUCAUAGUAUAAUUGAAUGGCAUCAUUUAAUUAUUAAAGUUCCAACGGUAUAAGAUGAGCAUGCGUCCUAUUAGCUAGAUGGUAAGGUAACGGCUUACCAUGGCAACGAUAGGUAGGGGUCCUGAGAGGGAGAUCCACCACACUGGUACUGAGACACGGACCAGACUCCUACGGGAGGCAGCAGUGAGGAAUAUUGGACAAUGGGCGCAAGCCUGAUCCAGCCAUGCCGCGUGCAGGAAGAAGCAUCUAUGGUGUGUAAACUGCUUUUGUACGGGAAGAAACACCCCUUCGUGAAGGGACUUGACGGUACCGUAAGAAUAAGGAUCGGCCAACUCCGUGCCAGCCGCCGCCGUAA